Molecule: ribosomal RNA, 929 nt
Filed under: Dermatophagoides farinae (American house dust mite)
Lineage: Eukaryota; Metazoa; Arthropoda; Arachnida; Sarcoptiformes; Pyroglyphidae
Description: partial 16S ribosomal RNA
Rfam family: Archaeal large subunit ribosomal RNA (bases 658-929)
Source: RNAcentral
UUUUUUGUUUUUAGGGUUUAUGCUAUAUCUUGGUGUGUUUUUUUGUGGACCUUGUUUUCCUGUAUGGGUUUGUUAAUAUUUCUAGAUUACCUUUUGUAUAAGGGUUAAUAGAGUGAGGUAUUUUUAUUUUUUAGAACAUAGAAGAUCUUAUGGGAAUUUUUAUUUUUUAUAUUAUGGUAAAUUUUUUUAAGGAGUAAUACGCUUUCGUUUCUUUAGUUAACUAAGUAUGAAUGAGAAAAUGAGGGGUAACCCCUUUCUUUUAAAAUUUUUAUUUUUGGAGCUAUCCUUUAAUAGUAAGGGUUUGUGUAAUAACUUUUGUGUUUUUGUUUAGUUUGUUUAGUUUUUAUAGAUUUUAAUAAAUUAUUAGAUUAGUAGAAAAGAGGUUUAUGGUGUAUGGGUUUAUUUUUAUUAAUGUUUUUAAUGUUAAUUUUAUCUUACUAAUUAACCCUAAGACUGGUUAUUAAAACCAUAGCUAUAAUUUUUAUAGUUUUUUCUGCUCUAUGGGGAGACCUGAAUGGCUGUGAUUUUCACACUAAGGUAGCGAGGUCAUUAGUUAUUUAAUUGGUAACUUGUAUGAAUGAAAUUUCUUAGGUAAGAUUAUUUUUUAUUUUUAAUUUAUAUUGUUGUUGAGAAUAACAAUUUAUCUUUUAAGACUAAAAGACCCUGGGAUUUUUAUAAAUCUAAUAUUUAUUUAGUUGGGGCAACGUAAUUAUUUAAAUAAAAAUAAAUUUUUAUUUUGUUGAACUUUUAAUAAAGACAGAUAGAUAAAAUACCCCAGGGAUAACAGCUUAAUCACUUUUGUUAGUUCUUAUAUGUAAGGUGGUUUGGGACCUCGAUGUUGGAUUAAAAGCACCUCUAGGUGAAGAAGCUUGGUUAGGUGGGACUGUUCGUCCCUUAAAAUUUUACAUGAUCUGAGUUAAAGUCGGCGU